GUCAUAUGCUUGUCUCAAAGAUUAAGCCAUGCAUGUCUCAGUACAAGCCAAAUUAAGGUGAAACCGCGAAAGGCUCAUUAAAUCAGUUAUGGUUCCUUAGAUCGUACUCACAAUUACUUGGAUAACUGUGGUAAUUCUAGAGCUAAUACAUGCAAACAGAGCUCCGACCGGAGACGGGAGGAGUGCUUUUAUUAGAUCAAAACCAAUCGGUGGCGGGUUCGCUCGUCAUCGUACAACUUGGUGACUCUGAAUAACUUUACGCUGAUCGCACGGUCAUCGCACCGGCGACGCAUCUUUCAAAUGUCUGCCUUAUCAACUGUCGAUGGUAGGUUCUGCGCCUACCAUGGUUGUAACGGGUAACGGGGAAUCAGGGUUCGAUUCCGGAGAGGGAGCCUGAGAAACGGCUACCACAUCCAAGGAAGGCAGCAGGCGCGCAAAUUACCCACUCCCGGCACGGGGAGGUAGUGACGAAAAAUAACGAUACGGGACUCAUCCGAGGCCCCGUAAUCGGAAUGAGUACACUCUAAACCCUUUAACGAGGAUCAAUUGGAGGGCAAGUCUGGUGCCAGCAGCCGCGG
Molecule: ribosomal RNA, 578 nt
Filed under: Arachnobas patronoides
Lineage: Eukaryota; Metazoa; Arthropoda; Insecta; Coleoptera; Curculionidae
Also listed under: 1 other name
Description: SSU rRNA
Rfam family: Eukaryotic small subunit ribosomal RNA
Source: RNAcentral